AUGAAGUGGCAAACCAUAUUUGGAACAAAGAUCUUUAAAACCGCAGAGGUCUUUGAAGAUCUUUGUUCCAAAUAUGGUUUGACACUUAACAACCUCUUUUGCUACUGUCAAGUCAGGCACUGCAUUCAUACUCAUUUUGAGGCUUACAAGUGGAGCAGUGGUCUAAGGCACUGCAUCUCAGUGCUAGAGGCGUCACUACAGACCCUGGUUAGAUUCCAGGCUGUAUCACAACCGGCUGCGAUUUGGAAUCCCAUAGGGCAGCGCACAAUUGGCCCCGCGUCGUUAGGGUUUGGCCGUGGUAGGCUGUCAUUAUAAAUGAGAAUUUGUUCUUAACUGACUUAAGUUAAAUAGCUAAUAAAUAUCCUUAUUUUCCCAACCUGUCGGUGGCAUUGUCAUGGAACAAACUGCUUAAAAAUCUACCUGGACAGAAGGGGUUCAUCUCAUACUCAUGUUUGAUGGGUUUUGAUAACACUCCUUUAACAGAACUAGGGAGAGGUGGGAAGCUGAGUUAACCUUGCAGAGGACUGGUGGGAAAGCGCUAUAAAAAAAAGUAAACUCGUCUUCUUCCUGUGCUUGACUUGGAAUAAUCCAGUUUAAGGUGCUCCAUCAGUUCAUAUGAGCAAGCCCAGACUAGCAGAGAUAUACCCUGAUUUAGACAACAAGUGUGAACAUUGCUCACAUUCUCCUGCUAACCUCACACACAUGAUCUGGUUUUCAUUCUAAUUGAUAAGCUUCUGGAUUUCCAUCUUUGAAAUGUUGUCACAUGUCAGAGCUCUUCAACUUCAACCAUCACUCCAUGUUGCUACUUUUGGAACUGUAGAAGACCCCCACUCUUAUAUCAUCCAAACACAGAUAUGAUGGAUUUCCACAACUCUUCUUUCUUUUCACAGAAUUGAGUUGGAAAUCCUCAGUCCCUCCUUCUCUAGCUGUGUGGUUCAAAUACAUUAUAUUUUUUCUUAAGUUAGAAAAUAUCAAAUUCACCUUGAGAGGAUCAACAGACAGGUUCUACUCACUCAGUAGACUAUAGGCAAUUACAUUUAGCUAGCUUCUUUAUGAUUUGACCCCCAUACCAUUCCAUGAUGUUGACCUAGACUGCCUCUAUGGCAGUAGAAAACAAACGAUUCCUUCUAAUAUGACUAGUGAGAUUACCUGAACAAUUUAUUCCCAAUCGUAUCUACUAUUUUCUCUUCUCUAUUUCAAUUUUUCUUUCCUUUAAAAAAGUUCAAAUGUAUAUUUUGUGUGUGUGUGUGUGUUCCUAAAUAUUAGAGCUUGGUGGCAGUGGAAAACAACGCCCAGGUAUGGCAUCAGGAAGGUUUGAAGUAUUGCAAAACAACUAGUGUGGCAGACCUUAGCUAGAGGUAUCUGAAAGAAUCAGAUAUUCUAAACAAAAGUAAAUCUACGCCUACCCACACCAGUGGUGGAAAAAGGAGCCAUUUGUCAUACUUGAGUAAAAGUACAGAUAUGUUAGUAGAAAAUGAUUUAGGUAAAAGUGAAAGUCACCCUGUAACAUAUUACUUGAGUAAAAGUCUAAAAGUAUUUGGUUUUAAAU
Oncorhynchus mykiss (rainbow trout) is the source of this 1549-nucleotide long non-coding RNA. Lineage: Eukaryota; Metazoa; Chordata; Actinopteri; Salmoniformes; Salmonidae. The record is from Ensembl.